CUGAUUCGGCGGAGGGAGGCCCCUCUUCUGGUCAGCCGGUUGUCUACUUGAGAGGUCCCUCGCGUCUCCCGAAGCGAGGGAUGCCUAAUGAGAGACUUCCGGUGAUUCGUCCAAGUGGCGAAAGUUACCAUACUCGCCAGCCCAAUGGCAUUCUGGGGAUUUUGUGCAGGCGUCACUUUCCCGGCAUUGUUCAACAUGCCGAAAAAAUGGAGCCAGCCUACACGUUUGCGCACUACACCUCCGCCCGCGACACAGAGGAUCGCAGGGGCAGGGUCUUUGACAACAAGGCAGUGUGAGUGUGCACGGAGCUAUGGGAUUUCUUCAGAUGUGACCAUGGAUAUGAGGAUGGGGCUCCCCAAGUGGCUUACAAUGCAUGCCACAAGCUCGUACUGGACAUGCACUACGAGUGUCGUGUCCAGUCCAUCGUGACAUACAACGCCCAGUACCUUUCUCGAAAGGUGACCAAAACUGUGGCUAGAACCAUGAUGCUGACCAAGGAAGAAUUCAUGAAGGUUCCUCCGUAGUGGUGCAAUGCGAACGUCCGUUGCUGGGAGCUAAUUGUGGACAGGUGGUUCACUCCUGAGUGGACACAGUCGCACAGUGCUGGUAGGGAGCGGCGCGCCUUGAUGCAAGGUCCAGCACACCAUCAAGGCAGUCUUAGCCUUGAUGGAUACAGAGCUAGAUGGUCACAGGCACAUGAUGGUCAGGAAGUCUCCACCUUCCAAGCGUACGCGAUGGGGCACCAGGACAAGUACAAGACAGCCGUUCCCUACAACCCACAUGCUCCGGCCUCGUCGUACAGCAACCCCUCCGUCCAUACACGCCUCACUCAGUAUAUAGAGACGGCAAAGGAGGUAUAUGGGCCGGACUACGAUCCCGCGGCCCAUGACAUUGAUGGAGAAGUCGUCAUGAGGGCGGGAGGAGGGAAGGUUCGUGGCCGGUACAUGAUUGGCGACGGCAGCUUGGAUUCUAGAACUGUUCCCAGCCUAGCCCAGAUCCGAGCAACGACCACAAGCUCGAGCGCGCCCAUACGCCAACGGCCGAACAGCACGAUGAGCAUUGUGGCAUCUCUCCAGAGAGGCUAAGGGAGGAACAAAGACUUAGGCAGGAGGCAGAACAGGAGGCUGUUCAACAGAGGAUGAGCGCGAUGUUCCAGUACAUGCAAAGUAUUGGAGCAGCUGUAGGUCAACCUCCUCCACCUGAGUUAUUCCAACCUAUACAACCUGCUGUCAACACUCCUAAUCAAUCGGCGGCGUCAAACGAUCCACCUCCUAGGCUACAAGGAGGAUCGGAGUGGGACGCAUGGAGUUUGCCGAGGUAGGUGGAGUGUGAUUCAUGAUGUGGGACGCAUAGAGUGAGACUUGUAAUGGUUAUGGACAUUAUGUGAUGCUUGUGGGUUUAUAUGUGUUGCUCAUGGAGUUUAUUUGUUGGUUGUGGCCUACAUGAGAUGGACAUGGAGUUUAUGUGAUGGAUUUGUCGUAUUUA
This is a long non-coding RNA of Sorghum bicolor (sorghum), 1485 nucleotides long. RefSeq lists it as uncharacterized. Lineage: Eukaryota; Viridiplantae; Streptophyta; Magnoliopsida; Poales; Poaceae. The record is from RefSeq and is a predicted model, not a curated record. The transcript has 7 exons.